UGAAGUAAGUAAGGGCGUACGGUGAAUGCCUUGGUGCCAACAGGCGAAGAAGGACGCGGCAAGCUGCGAAAAGCCUCGGGAAGCUGCAAGCAAGCGAUGAUCCGGGGAUAUCCGAAUGGGGUAACCUGAUCGAGGCAAUACUCGAUCGUUCAUACCUGAAUACAUAGGGUAUGAAACGCGAAACCCGCUGAAGUGAAACAUCUCAGUAAGCGGAGGAAAAGAAAGAGAAAUCGAUUCCGUAAGUAGUGGCGAGCGAAAGCGGAUGGAGCCCAAACCGAAGGUAUUCCUUCGGGGUUGUAGGACCACGUCAUAUUCGACCAUACUGGAUAGUAGAACAGCCUGGAAAGGCUGGCCGGAGAAGGUGAAAGCCCUGUAGACGAAAUCCAGAGUGGGAAUUAGUGGUAUCCUGAGUAAUACAUCACACGUGGAACGAUGUAUGAACCCGCGCGGACCACCGCGCAAGGCUAAAUACUAGUUGGCGACCGAUAGUGAACAAGUACCGCGAGGGAAAGGUGAAAAGAACCGCUGUGAGCGGAGUGAAAUAGAACCUGAAACCGUAUGUCUACAAAGUGUCAGAGCAGAGCAAUCUGCGAUGGCGUGCCUUUUGUUUAAUGAGUCUGCGAGUCAGUGUUUGUGGCAAGACUAAGGGCUUCCGGCCCGGAGUCGCAGCGAAAGCAAGUCCGAACAGGGCGCAAUAAGUCGCAGGUACUGGACCCGAAGCGGAGGUGACCUACCCUUGGCCAGGUUGAAGCAUGGGUAAAACCAUGUGGAGGACCGAACAGGUGAACGUUGAAAAGUUCUCUGAUGAGCUGAGGGUAGGAGUGAAAGGCUAAUCAAACCCCGUGAUAGCUGGUUCUCUUCGAAAUGCAUUUAGGUGCAGCGUCACGUGCUGAUGCGCGGGGGUAGAGCACUGACAAGGCUAGGGGGCACACCCGCUUACCAAACCUUAUCAAACUCCGAAUACCGUGCAAUGGAACGUGGCAGUGAGACAGUGGGGGAUAAGCUUCAUUGUCGAGAGGGAAACAACCCAGACCAGCAGCUAAGGUGCCUAAAUAACGCUCAGUGGAAAGGAUGUGGGAUUACACAGACAGUGAGGAUGUUGGCUUAGAAGCAGCCACCAUUUAAAAAAUGCGUAAUAGCUUACUCAUCGAGUGAUCCUGCGCCGAAAAUGAUUGGCGAUCAAGCGUUAUACCGAAGCUCUGGACUUUGCCGCAAGGCAGAGUGGUAGAAGAGCGUUGCAUGCGCGUCGAAGGGCGAUGGCGACUGACCCUGGAGCACAUGCAAGUGAGUAUGCAGACAUGAGUAACGUUAAGCCGGGUGAAAUCCCCGGCCGCCGUAAACCCGAGGUUUCCAGGGCAACGUGUUUCGUCCCUGGGUUAGCCGGGACCUAAGCCGAGGCCGAGAGGCGUAGGCGAUGGACAUCAGGUUAAUAAUCCUGAGCUCGCAACCCUUAAACUGGGGGGACGCAUGAGAAAAGAUGACUAGGUUAUUGAAUUCCGAGUUGAGUCUACGGACUCAGCGCAUCAUUGGAUCGAGUGCCAAGAAAAGCCCCAGCGUAUGCUAAGCGACCCGUACCGCAAACCGACACAGGUGGGUGGGUAGAAUAUACCAAGGCGUAAGAGUGAAACCUGGUUAAGGAACUCGGCAAAUUAGCCCCGUAACUUCGGAAGAAGGGGUGCCUGCAGCGAUGCAGGCCGCAGAGAAAUGGCCCAACCGACUGUUUAUCAAAAACACAGCACUCUGCAAAGACGCAAGUCGAAGUAUAGGGUGUGACACGUGACCAAUGCCGAAAGAUUAAGGCAAGGGGUUAGCCGCAAGGCGAAGCUCUAAACCCAAGUCCCGGUGAAUGUCGGCCGUAACUAUAACGGUCCUAAGGUAGCGAAAUUCCUUGUCGGGUAAGUUCCGACCUGCACGAAUCGUGAAACGAGUUGGGCACUGUCUCAACCAGGCGCUCAGUGAAAUUGUAGUGGCGGUGAAGAUGCCGCCUACCCGCAGAAGGACGGAAAGACCCUAUAGACCUUAACUGUAAGCUGUCAUUGUUUCUUCGGUUUUAAUGCUCAGAGUAAGUGGGAGACGCUGAAGACGCCCUUUAGGGGGCGUCCGAGUCAUCAAUGAGACACCACCCUUUGAAACUGGAGGAUCUAACCCUGAGCCGUGAAUCCGGCCAGAGGACCGUGUCAGCCGGUCAGUUUUACUGGGGCGGUAUCCUCCCAAAGAGUAACGGAGGAGCGCGAAGGUGGGCUCAGCCCGGUUGGCAACCGGGUGUCGAGUGCAUGGGCAUAAGCCCGCCUAACUGUGAGACCAACAAGUCGAGCAGAUGCGAAAGCAGGCCCAAGUGAUCCGGCGGUAGAAAGUGGAAUUGCCGUCGCUCAACGGAUAAAAGGUACCUUAGGGAUAACAGGCUGAUCACGCCCAAGAGUUCAUAUCGACGGCGUGGUUUGGCACCUCGAUGUCGGCUCGUCGCAUC
This 2467-nucleotide ribosomal RNA is filed under the name human gut metagenome. RNAcentral describes it as "bacterial LSU rRNA". It matches the Rfam family "Bacterial large subunit ribosomal RNA", at positions 1 to 2546 of the family's 2925-position model. The record is from RNAcentral.